CACUCCUGCGGGAGGCAGCAGUGGGGAAUUUUGGACAAUGGGCGAAAGCCUGAUCCAGCAAUGCCGCGUGUGUGAAGAAGGCCUUCGGGUUGUAAAGCACUUUUGUCCGGAAAGAAAUCCUUGGCUCUAAUACAGUCGGGGGAUGACGGUACCGGAAGAAUAAGCACCGGCUAACUACGUGCCAGCAGCCGCGGUAAUACGUAGGGUGCGAGCGUUAAUCGGAAUUACUGGGCGUAAAGCGUGCGCAGGCGGUUUGCUAAGACCGAUGUGAAAUCCCCGGGCUCAACCUGGGAACUGCAUUGGUGACUGGCAGGCUAGAGUAUGGCAGAGGGGGGUAGAAUUCCACGUGUAGCAGUGAAAUGCGUAGAGAUGUGGAGGAAUACCGAUGGCGAAGGCAGCCCCCUGGGCCAAUACUGACGCUCAUGCACGAAAGCGUGGGGAGCAAACAGGAUUAGAUACCCUAGUAGUCCCA
Molecule: ribosomal RNA, 472 nt
Filed under: uncultured organism
Description: partial 16S ribosomal RNA
Rfam family: Bacterial small subunit ribosomal RNA
Source: RNAcentral